Molecule: ribosomal RNA, 253 nt
Filed under: uncultured bacterium
Lineage: Bacteria
Description: partial 16S ribosomal RNA
Rfam family: Bacterial small subunit ribosomal RNA
Source: RNAcentral
UACGUAGGGUGCAAGCGUUGUCCGGAAUCAUUGGGCGUAAAGCGCACGUAGGCGGAUUUGUAAGUCAGGGGUGAAAUCCCGGGGCUCAACCUCGGAACUGCCUUUGAUACUGCAAGUCUUGAGUCCGGAAGAGGUGAGUGGAAUUCCUAGUGUAGAGGUGAAAUUCGUAGAUAUUAGGAAGAACACCAGUGGCGAAGGCGGCUCACUGGUCCGGUACUGACGCUGAGGUGCGAAGGCGUGGGGAGCAAACAGG